AGCACAUCAAACCAGAGAAUUGAAAGCUGGUGGGGUUUCCUCAGGAGGGAGUCAAUGGAGUUCUAUAUUUCUCUGUUGGUUGAUCUUAAGGAUCGUGGUUUGUACAACGGUGAAUAUUUGGACAAAAGCCUUGUUCAGUUCUGCUUCCUGGGCAUCAUACAGGAUGAGUUGGAUGAGAUGACCUCUGUGUGGGAUUCACAUAUUAUUCGACCAUCAAAAAAUUACAGAGUACCAAGUGGCCGACCUAAAGUUAUGUACAUGUUUCCAGACCUCUACUCAACCAGAGAUUGCAUUUCACCAGUAAACAGUGAUGAUGUACAGCUAUGCAUUACAAACUGUGCCUUUCGACAAGCAACACCAUGUGACACAGACAUCAACAAUCUCUGCAACUUUCUGAUGGCAGAGUCACAUUUGCAGCUCCCAUCUGAUGGUUUCCAAGCAAUUGAUCUGUACUUGCAUUUGCGAACUAGUAUUAGAACUAGUCUAUAAGUUGUAGUGACUUACAAAUGGUCAUCCUGUUUGUUUAGUAUCUUUGUAAAUAAUUUUUAUCUUAGAAGAUUGUGUUUCUUUCUUUUAGAAAUGACUGACAUGACACAUCGCCUAUUAAAUAAGGCAAAUAUAGUUCCUUUUUUCCACAGUUUAUUCAGAAACCUGACCUUUAUUCAUAAAGAAAGCCAGUGAAAAGUUGAACAAUGUGUGUUUAUCUGUUCACACAACACUCAAAAUGUUACUUUGGAUAUGAAAAUCUUCUGAACAAAACUGAAAGUUAUGAUGAAAAGAAAAGAAGUUAACUUUUUACCACAGAAACAUCAACUACUGUGAUUAACUAAAUCAUUGUUUUGAAUCAAGAAUUUGCGUUGUAGAGCUGUCAAAAAUAAACAUAAACAGACUCUGAA
Fundulus heteroclitus (mummichog) is the source of this 896-nucleotide long non-coding RNA. RefSeq lists it as uncharacterized. Lineage: Eukaryota; Metazoa; Chordata; Actinopteri; Cyprinodontiformes; Fundulidae. The record is from RefSeq and is a predicted model, not a curated record. The transcript is spliced from 2 exons.